CCAACAGUCCUUUUCAGGACUACCAAAUGAAUUGUAAAAGAAUUAA
Non-coding RNA from Anopheles farauti, 46 nucleotides. NCBI's taxonomy places the organism in Eukaryota, Metazoa, Arthropoda, Insecta, Diptera, Culicidae. The record is from Rfam.